ACCUGCGCCGCCAUCUCACGAUCGCUCAGGCCACCGCAAAUCUGAAUCAAACGGUCAGAGAGCGUUGAUUUGCCGUGGUCAAUGUGAGCGAUAAUGGAGAAGUUUCGUAUGUGCUUCAUUUAUAUGAAUAUCUUCACGUAUAAAAUUAGUUGAAAACGUGAGCACAGACACAUUCAGGCAAGUGAGCUUUACCCGGAACCCUGUCAGCCUCAUUAAUGACGACGCAUAUUACACUGUUAACGCCGCGCGUUAAAGAAUAGAACUGCGGGGAAUCGCAACAGAAUUCAGCGAUUAAGACGAAAUGAAAAGGCCGCGCAAUACGCGGCCCGAACGGAGAUCAACGGUGGUUUUCCACCCGUAGCGCAUCGGGCGGGUGCGCUACGCUGAGAAUCACUGGCUGGAACGCUUCGCGAUCGCCAAACCGGCUAGAAACCCCUUUGGCAACAAUAAAGCCGCCAACGCCACCAAGCAGCGCACCGCAGGCCGCCGCCAGGUCGCUGUGGAACAGCAUCUGGAACAGGCCCGCGACCAGGAACAGACCAAACAGCGGCGUCAUAUACACCAGCAGCGAAGAACCGAGCAGGCUGCUUUCGCGAAUGCCCAGCUCAAUGCGCUGGCCCGGCUGCAGCGGCUCCGGACUGGCGAUGGUCAUCACAUGGGCGUUUUUCGGUCCCAGCUGGUUGAGCGCAUGGCUGCCGCAGCCUUUGCGCGCGGAACAACUGUUGCAGGAGGUUUUCGCUUCCGAAUGCAGAGUAGCGACGCCCUCUUUCCAUGCCACCACGGUGGCCCAUUCUCUCAUCAUUUUGUAGCACCUGAAUCUAUGCUGUCCGCGAUACGU
Molecule: non-coding RNA, 838 nt
Rfam family: antisense RNA of rseC mRNA
Source: Rfam